Molecule: ribosomal RNA, 426 nt
Filed under: uncultured Pseudomonadota bacterium
Lineage: Bacteria; Pseudomonadati; Pseudomonadota
Description: bacterial SSU rRNA
Rfam family: Bacterial small subunit ribosomal RNA
Source: RNAcentral
GGGGAAUAUUGGACAAUGGGCGCAAGCCUGAUCCAGCCAUGCCGCGUGGGUGAAGAAGGCCUUCGGGUUGUAAAGCCCUUUUGUUGGGAAAGAAAAGCAGCCGGCCAAUACCCGGUUGUUCUGACGGUACCCAAAGAAUAAGCACCGGCUAACUUCGUGCCAGCAGCCGCGGUAAUACGAAGGGUGCAAGCGUUACUCGGAAUUACUGGGCGUAAAGCGUGCGUAGGUGGUUUCGUAAGACAGACGUGAAAUCCCCGGGCUCAACCUGGGAACUGCGUUUGUGACUGCGAGGCUAGAGUACGGCAGAGGGGGGUAGAAUUCCACGUGUAGCAGUGAAAUGCGUAGAGAUGUGGAGGAAUACCGAUGGCGAAGGCAGCCCCCUGGGUUAGUACUGACGCUCAUGCACGAAAGCGUGGGGAGCAAACA